This 2024-nucleotide ribosomal RNA is filed under the name Anaerolineaceae bacterium. RNAcentral describes it as "bacterial LSU rRNA". It matches the Rfam family "Bacterial large subunit ribosomal RNA", at positions 1 to 1993 of the family's 2925-position model. Lineage: Bacteria; Bacillati; Chloroflexota; Anaerolineae; Anaerolineales; Anaerolineaceae. The record is from RNAcentral.
GUGUAAGCUACUAAGAGCGCACGGUGGAUGCCUUGGUGUCAAAUGCUGAUGAAGGACGUGGUACACUGCGAUAAGCCUCGGGGAGUCGUGUGCAGACGCUAUAUCCGAGGAUGUCCGAAUGGGGAAACCCACCAGGGGUCGAUGCCCUGGUACUGUUAUCUGAACACAUAGGGUAACAGGGGGAACGGGGUGAACUGAAACAUCUUAGUAACCCUAGGAAAAGAGAUCAUUCCCUGAGUAGUGGCGAGCGAAAGGGGAUUAGCCCAAACCGUUGUCUUUAUGGCAGCGGGGUUGUAGGACUUGCAUAUGAAAGUGAUAAAUUUGUCUGGCAGUAAAACUUUUCUGGAAAGUUAGACCACAGAAGGUGACAGUCCUGUAUACGAAACCAGAUAAACUUUCGCAAUGUUCCUGAGUACGGCGGGGCACGCUAACCCUGUCGGAAUCUGGGAGGCCCACCUCCCAAGGCUAAAUACAUUUGACAACCGAUAGUGAACAAGUACUGUGAAGGAAAGGUGAAAAGACCCCCGGUAAGGGGAGUGAAAUAGAACCUGAAACCGUGUGCUUACAACCGGUCGGAGCACUAUGGGCGAUGCUUGCAUCGUCAACGUGUGACGGCGUGCCUUUUGGAGAAUGAGCCAGCGAGUUAAUUUCAGUGGCAAGGUUAAGUCAGAAACAGACGGAGCCGCAGCGAAAGCGAGUCUGAAUAGGGCAAUAGAGUCGCUGGAAUUAGACACGAAACCAAGUGAGCUACCCAUGUGCAGGCUGAAGCGAGAUUAAUCUCUCGUGGAGGGCCGAACCCACUAAUGUUGCAAAAUUAGGGGAUGACGUGUGGGUAGGGGUGAUAUGCCAAACGAACUUGGAGAUAGCUUGUUCUCUCCGAAAUAGCUUUAGGGCUAGCGUCGCGUGUUUAGUACAGGGGGUAGAGCACUGGAUGAGCAAGGGGGCGCAAGCUUACCAACCUCAACCAAACUCCGAAUACCUGUAUUCUAUAGCGCGGCAGUCGGACUAUGUGAGAUGAGUUUCAUAGUCGAGAGGGAAACAACCCAGACCGACGGCUAAGGUCCUCAAAUCUAUGCUAAGUGGGAAACGUUGUGAGAGUGUUUUGACAGCCAGGAGGUUGGCUUAGAAGCAGCCACCCUUUAAAGAGUGCGUAAUAGCUCACUGGUCAAACGCUUUUGCGCGGAAAAUGUAACGGGGCUAAAGCAUAGUACCGAAGCCACGGAUUGGCAGUUCUUUGAACUGCUGAUGGUAGGAGAGCGUUCUGUAAGAGAUACAAGGGUAACCGAGAGGAUAUCUGCGGCUUACAGAAGUGAGAAUGCUGGCAUGAGUAGCGUAAAACAUGUGAGAAACAUGUUCCCCGUAAACCUAAGGUUUCCGACGGAAGGUUAAUCCGCGUCGGGUUAGUCGGUCCUUAGCCGAGGCCGAAAGGCGUAGGUGAUGGAUAUCCGGUUAAUAUUCCGGAACCACUUAUUUGGAGUGAUGGAGGGACGCAGUUUGGUAGGUCAGCCCCUUAUUGGAUUGGGGUGCUAAACGUCUAGGAUAAAGACGGGUAUAGGCAAAUCCGUACCCUGAAUCUGAAACGUGAUGGCGGGCCAAUAGAGCCAGAAGUGAUUGAGCCAAGCUGCCAAGAAAAUCUUCUAAACGUUGAUAUUUAAGUGACCGUACCGCAAACCGACACUGGUAGGUGGGUAGAGUAUACCAAGGGGAUCGAGAGAACCUUCGUUAAGGAAUUCGGCAAAAUUCCCCCGUAACUUCGGGAGAAGGGGGGCCUUUGUUGGUUAGCAAUUAAGCGAAGCUGACGAAGGCCGCAGAGAAAUGGCUUCUUCAACUGUUUAACAAAAACACAGGUCUCUGCUAAGUCGAAAGACGAUGUAUAGGGGCUGACGCCUGCCCAGUGCUGGAAGGUUAAGGGGAGAGGUUAGCCGUAAGGCAAAGCUUUGAACCGAAGCCCCAGUGAACGGCGGCCGUAACUAUAACGGUCCUAAGGUAGCGAAAUUCCUUGUCGGGUAAGUUCCGACCCGCAC